RNAcentral lists this long non-coding RNA (683 nucleotides) under Manihot esculenta (cassava). RNAcentral's name for it is "long non-coding RNA (MESC_LNC012104)". Lineage: Eukaryota; Viridiplantae; Streptophyta; Magnoliopsida; Malpighiales; Euphorbiaceae. The record is from RNAcentral.
UGGACUAUCCAGGGGCGACCUGGUAUGGCUAUCUCAUGCCAUAAAUCUGUAUCUGCUCUCUGUCAAGGGCUAAGGAUCAUCCAACAUUCAUCCACAGGAACAACAACAUAUGCAAUGCAUCAUAUUCGUGAAUUCUAAUGCAACACAACCUAAUACAUAACAUGGCAGUUUAUGAUGCAUGGAUCAUGCUAGAAUCGUGUCAUUUCUCAAAAUAAACUAGUCAGUUUAGUUCCACUCACCUCUGCUCUUCUGGCAGAUACUGUACUGACUCUGAUCUCUCUAACUCUGAUGACCUCCUCGAACUCUCGGGUCCAAUCCUACACAAAUGGACUCGAAUGAGGUGUCACACAUACUUUGAAUAGCUCUUAAACAAAUCCCCAUAAUCCCCUCUAAACCUCUGAAAAUAAUCACAUAACUCAUGCAAAAGAAGGCUAGACAGAACACAUUCGGCAGCAGGUUCGGCGGCCGAAUGUCCUCUCCAGAGCCGAAACUCAUGCAUGUUCGGCGGCACCUUCGGCGGCCGAAUGUGCAUGACAGAUCCGAAAGUCCAUUCUUUCGGAGGCAACCUUAGGCAGCCGAAACUACCUCCACAAGAGGUUCGGCGGCCGAAUCUUCACUUCGGCGGCCGAAGCUGGGUUCUCCAGAAGGCAGAACCUUGCUUCCUCUCAUGCACAACGUCUCCA